This 65-nucleotide transfer RNA is filed under the name Dipodomys ordii (Ord's kangaroo rat). It matches the Rfam family "tRNA". From Rfam's summary of the family: Transfer RNA (tRNA) molecules are approximately 80 nucleotides in length. Their secondary structure includes four short double-helical elements and three loops (D, anti-codon, and T loops). Further hydrogen bonds mediate the characteristic L-shaped molecular structure. tRNAs have two regions of fundamental functional importance: the anti-codon, which is responsible for specific mRNA codon recognition, and the 3' end, to which the tRNAs corresponding amino acid is attached (by aminoacyl-tRNA synthetases). tRNAs cope with the degeneracy of the genetic code in two manners: having more than one tRNA (with a specific anti-codon) for a particular amino acid; and 'wobble' base-pairing, i.e. permitting non-standard base-pairing at the 3rd anti-codon position. The record is from Rfam by way of RNAcentral. Lineage: Eukaryota; Metazoa; Chordata; Mammalia; Rodentia; Heteromyidae.
GGUGGCUCAGUGGUAGAGUGCUUGCCUUGCAUGCAUGAUACCCUGGGUUCAAUUCCUCAGCACCA